GUUGCUGGCUUGGAUUUUGAGCCGCGUAGUGGGAGCAUCUAUCAGAUUCCGGUUUGGCGGAUGGAAGUGUAUAAGGGAUCUCAUGGUGGAGUUCAAAAAGGGUGCUGUUGAAUCUGUUUCUGUUGGUGAAAUUAAACUCAGCUUACGUCAGUCCUUGGUCAAACUGUUUGGUUUUAUUUCUAAAGACCCGAAGCUGAAAGUGUUAAUAUGUGACUUAGAAGUUGUGAUGAGGCCUUCGAGUAGAAGUACGGCAAAGGCUAAACCAAAAUUUCUGCUAAGUGGCAUUUGUUUCCCAUGAUUGUAGCAAAGAAUAGAGACACAAGUGAUUCUGAGGAUGACGGGACUCGUCAUUUCAUGGUGAAUGUUAUUGAGCCCCAAUUUAAUCUUCACUCAGAAGAUGCAAAUGGAAGAUUUCUGCUUGCUGCUGUUAGUGGCCGGGUCUUGGCUAGGUCUUUUCAUUCAGUCCUUCAGGUUGACUCUGAGAUGCUCGAGCAAGCACUUGGUACUGGGAAUGUAAAUAUUCCAGAAUGUGAACCUGAAAUGACAUGGAAACGCAUGGAGUUUUCUGUUAUGUUGGAACAUGUUCAAGCUUAUGUUGCUCCAACAGAUGUUGAUCCAGGUGCUGGAUUGCAGUGGCUUCCAAAGAUUCGUAGAAGUUCUCCAAAAGUUAAACGUACUGGUGCAUUACUUGAGAGAGUUUUUAUGCCCUGCGAUAUGUACUUCUGGUACACAAGGCACAAAGG
Molecule: non-coding RNA, 743 nt
Organism: Malus domestica (apple)
Lineage: Eukaryota; Viridiplantae; Streptophyta; Magnoliopsida; Rosales; Rosaceae
Source: RefSeq, a predicted model, not a curated record